RNAcentral lists this ribosomal RNA (301 nucleotides) under uncultured bacterium. RNAcentral's name for it is "partial 16S ribosomal RNA". It matches the Rfam family "Bacterial small subunit ribosomal RNA", at positions 509 to 808 of the family's 1533-position model. The record is from RNAcentral.
CAGCCGCCGCGGUAAUACGUAGGUCCCGAGCGUUGUCCGGAUUUAUUGGGCGUAAAGCGAGCGCAGGCGGUUAGAUAAGUCUGAAGUUAAAGACUGUGGCUUAACCAUAGUACGCUUUGGAAACUGUUUAACUUGAGUGCAAGAGGGGGGAGUGGAAUUCCAUGUGUAGCGGUGAAAUGCGUAGAUAUAUGGAGGAACACCGGUGGCGAAAGCGGCUCUCUGGUCUGUCACUGACGCUGAGGCUCGAAAGCGUGGGUAGCGAACAGGAUUAGAUACCCCAGUAGUCCCUGUCUCUUAUACA